GUAUCAGAAGUGCGAAUGCUGACAUAAGUAACGAUAAAGCGGGUGAAAAGCCCGCUCGCCGGAAGACCAAGGGUUCCUGUCCAACGUUAAUCGGGGCAGGGGGAGUCGACCCCUAAGGCGAGGCCGAAAGGCGUAGUCGAUGGGAAACAGGUUAAUAUUCCUGUACUUGGUGUUACUGCGAAGGGGGGACGGAGAAGGCUAUGUUGGCCGGGCGACGGUUGUCCCGGUUUAAGCGUGUAGGCUGGUUUUCCAGGCAAAUCCGGAAAAUCAAGGCUGAGGCGUGAUGACGAGGCACUACGGUGCUGAAGCAACAAAUGCCCUGCUUCCAGGAAAAGCCUCUAAGCAUCAGGUAACAUCAAAUCGUACCCCAAACCGACACAGGUGGUCAGGUAGAGAAUACCAAGGCGCUUGAGAGAACUCGGGUGAAGGAACUAGGCAAAAUGGUGCCGUAACUUCGGGAGAAGGCACGCUGAUAUGUAGGUGAGGUCCCUC
Molecule: ribosomal RNA, 492 nt
Filed under: Escherichia coli
Lineage: Bacteria; Pseudomonadati; Pseudomonadota; Gammaproteobacteria; Enterobacterales; Enterobacteriaceae
Description: bacterial LSU rRNA
Rfam family: Bacterial large subunit ribosomal RNA
Source: RNAcentral